RNAcentral lists this ribosomal RNA (285 nucleotides) under Triticum aestivum (bread wheat). RNAcentral describes it as "partial small subunit ribosomal RNA". The record is from RNAcentral. Lineage: Eukaryota; Viridiplantae; Streptophyta; Magnoliopsida; Poales; Poaceae.
AUGGCUCAGCAUUUGCUUGUUGCAGCGGACAGGUAUGAUUUGGCGAGGCUGAAGGUGAUUUGUGAAGAUAAACUGAGCAAUCAUAUCGAUAGGGGCUCCGUGGCAGCCAUGGUGACAUUGGCGGAGCGACACCACUGCCAUGGGCUUAAGAAAGCAUGUUUGGUAUUCCUCAGCUCGUCAGCGAAUCUGAAUGCACUCAUAGAGUCUGAAGGCCUUGAGUUUUUAACCAAGCACUGCCCCGGUCUUCUGAAGGAUCUCCUCUUGUCCAAGGUUGUAGCUUUUUGA